UACGUAGGGUGCAAGCGUUAUCCGGAAUCACUGGGUGUAAAGGGAGUGUAGGCGGGCACUUGCGUCAGAGGUAAAAUCCCCAAGCUUAACUUGGGAUCUGCCUUUGAUACGGGGUGUCUUGAGUAUGAGAGAGGAUGAUGGAAUUCCUGGUGUAGCAGUGAAAUGCGUAGAUAUCAGGAGGAACACCGGUGGCGAAGGCGGUCAUCUGGCUCAUAACUGACGCUGAGGCUCGAAAGCGUGGGGAUCAAACAGGAUUAGAUACCCUGGUAGUCCACGCCCUAAACGAUGUAUGCUUGGUGUUACUCUCGUAAGAGAUUAGUGCCGAAGGAAACCCGUUAAGCAUACCACCUGGGGAGUACAAUCGCAAGGUUGAA
Molecule: ribosomal RNA, 374 nt
Filed under: uncultured bacterium
Lineage: Bacteria
Description: bacterial SSU rRNA
Rfam family: Bacterial small subunit ribosomal RNA
Source: RNAcentral